UACGAAGGGGGCUAGCGUUGCUCGGAAUCACUGGGCGUAAAGGGUGCGUAGGCGGGUCUUUAAGUCCGGGGUGAAAUCCUGGAGCUCAACUCCAGAACUGCCUUUGAUACUGAGGAUCUUGAGUCCGGGAGAGGUGAGUGGAACUGCGAGUGUAGAGGUGAAAUUCGUAGAUAUUCGCAAGAACACCAGUGGCGAAGGCGGCUCACUGGCCCGGUACUGACGCUGAGGCACGAAAGCCAGGGGAGCAAACGGG
Molecule: ribosomal RNA, 253 nt
Filed under: uncultured bacterium
Lineage: Bacteria
Description: partial 16S ribosomal RNA
Rfam family: Bacterial small subunit ribosomal RNA
Source: RNAcentral